Molecule: transfer RNA, 72 nt
Filed under: Ipomoea nil (Japanese morning glory)
Lineage: Eukaryota; Viridiplantae; Streptophyta; Magnoliopsida; Solanales; Convolvulaceae
Rfam family: tRNA
About the family: Transfer RNA (tRNA) molecules are approximately 80 nucleotides in length.
Source: Rfam by way of RNAcentral
GGGUUCUUAGCUUAGUGGUAGAGUAUUUGACUGUAUAUCAAGAGGUCAUUAGUUCAAACUCAAUGGGGCCUU